RNAcentral lists this non-coding RNA (85 nucleotides) under Eshraghiella crossota. Its description in RNAcentral is "Butyrivibrio crossotus ZTP sequence". It matches the Rfam family "ZMP/ZTP riboswitch aptamer (pfl RNA motif)". Rfam says of the family: Previously known as pfl RNA. Lineage: Bacteria; Bacillati; Bacillota; Clostridia; Lachnospirales; Lachnospiraceae. RNAcentral also lists the same sequence under 1 other name. The record is from RNAcentral.
UAAAGACUGCGUGACUGACGGACAAUAGGAGAGCUUACUCCAGAGAAGCGCAGUAUGUGAUUUGCCGACCGUCUGGGCACCGUCU